Zonotrichia albicollis (white-throated sparrow) is the source of this 1748-nucleotide non-coding RNA. The record is from RefSeq and is a predicted model, not a curated record. NCBI's taxonomy places the organism in Eukaryota, Metazoa, Chordata, Aves, Passeriformes, Passerellidae.
ACUCACUGCCUGUCCUUGUGUUCCAGAGGAUUCCCAAACCCAAACAUGAGAGAUCACUGCUGAACAUGCAGCUCUGACAACAUUUUGCUUUGCCACUCUUAUGGAUUGAUUGUGCACAUGUAGCAAGGCUGCAAGUUGAAGAAGUGUGGAGGAAGCUGAUAAUGCUCUUUCAGUUCCUGAGGACUUCAGGCAGCUAUAAAAGUGAUAGGACAUUGGCAAACACCAACACUCAGCUCACAAACAGCUGGCUGAGAAGUUGAAGACAAACAUCUGGAGGACUAAAAUAGUGCAGGAAUACCUGAAAAUACUAUUGAGAAGGAGCACCAGCAGCAGAGAUCCCUUCCCCUGGCACAAGAUUUGGUAAGUGGAGCCAAUAGGCACCCAGCUGCAGGGAGAACAUCAUCUUCAUCACCAGGGAAGGAAUUUCCAGAUGGAGUUAACAAAGCCUCCACCCCUACAGUCCGAGCAGUGGCUGAGUAUCAUUAAUCAUUCCAUCAAAUGGAGCAUUCACCACCCUCCUGGUAAGGACAGGUUGCUGGAAAACAUUCCUGAUUACAAUUCCUAUUGAGCAUUGCACUGCAGUACAUCUGGCAGCAGUGUCUGGGGUUGAUGUUUAACUAAACCACAUGUACAGACAGUUGGUUUAAGUACAAUGCAGAAUACCUGUGCAUUUAUCUGUGUUAUCAGCUCUCCUUCCUGUGACCUAUCAGUACAUAAAUACCAUAUCAAGUGCCUGCAUAUAUUAUACACACCAGAUUCAUCACAUCACACGUGGUAAUCAUGGUAGAUCUGCCCAAAGCAGCAAAUAACAACCAGCAGCAGACACAUAACAUCUUCACAACUGCUUCCUUUUUGGCUCCAUGCCUGCUCUGCACUGCAAGAGCUGCUGCACCAGAGGAGUUGGUUAAUGUUUGCACUUGCACAGCUCCUGGAAGAUGAAGGCACUCAAAUAUAGAAAUUAAUAUUCACAGGAGAGCUGUCAGGGGAAGAGUUUUCCCUGAGGUGCACUGUUUCAGUACAGUGUGUUUGACUGGCACUUGGGCUCCUUUCCUUCAUGGGGAGAAACAGGAGAGACAUAAUCUGUUUGUACUCUGAUUUUCCCCAUCCAAUUAGAACAUCCUUUCAAAGCAUUCCUGUUGCAGGUAGGCAGGAUAAUGUGAUAGACUUCCAGAGAUGUGGUCUCUCUUACACCACCUUCCAGCAGAGAGGCUUCCCAGGAGAAAGCAGUGUUGUCUCCCCAAGGAGGGGGAAGGACACAGCCACAGGCUUCUCUCAUGCCUGAUCUCUCAGGAGUGAACCAGGGUGAUGGACAACUUCUAAAUCCAGCAAGCUCCUCAGAUGAAGGCUGCCCAGAGAAGUCCAUCUGUGCCUCCCACUUGCACAUCCCUGGCUUUGGCUGAGCUCCAAGUGCAGCCAGCACUGAAAGGGAGAACAAAGCCUUGGCUUUGCAAGGGGAACUCAAGGCCCUCUCAGUGCUCUGCAGAGCCAAGUGUACACAUGAUAAGGCAGGAGAGCCAUUCCACACUGCAGUCACAUGCCAUGUGGGCUAUAAUCUCACAAGGACACAGAUAUGGCCAUGCAAAUAUGGGUUAUGCCUGUGCUAACAUCCAGCUCCUGUCCCUGGAGCUCCUGAAUGGCGUUAAUCUGGCUGCUAAUGCGGGACAAAGCUUGUGCUGGAGAGGCUGCAUUUCUGCUGGCUCUGCCCAGCCAGGAGCCUGCUGCCCUUUGGCACCUUGACUGGAGGGGUG